This 495-nucleotide ribosomal RNA is filed under the name uncultured bacterium. RNAcentral's name for it is "partial 16S ribosomal RNA". It matches the Rfam family "Bacterial small subunit ribosomal RNA", at positions 28 to 507 of the family's 1533-position model. The record is from RNAcentral.
GAUGAACGCUGGCGGCGUGCCUAAUACAUGCAAGUCGAACGCUGAAGGAGGAGCUUGCUCUUCUGGAUGAGUUGCGAACGGGUGAGUAACGCGUAGGUAACCUGCCUGGUAGCGGGGGAUAACUAUUGGAAACGAUAGCUAAUACCGCAUGACAACAGUUAUUGCAUGAUAACUGUUUAAAAGGGGCAACUGCUCCACUACCAGAUGGACCUGCGUUGUAUUAGCUAGUUGGUGAGGUAACGGCUCACCAAGGCGACGAUACAUAGCCGACCUGAGAGGGUGAUCGGCCGCACUGGGACUGUGACACGGCCCAGACUCCUACGGGAGGCAGCAGUAGGGAAUCUUCGGCAAUGGACGGAAGUCUGACCGAGCAACGCCGCGGGAGUGAAGAAGGUUGUCGGAUCGUAAAGCUCUGUUGUAAGAGAAGAAAGAGUGUGAGAGUGGAAAGUUCACACUGUGACGGUAACUUACCAGAAAGGGACGGCUAACUACGUG